This is a long non-coding RNA of Mytilus trossulus (common blue mussel), 257 nucleotides long. RefSeq lists it as uncharacterized. The record is from RefSeq and is a predicted model, not a curated record. NCBI's taxonomy places the organism in Eukaryota, Metazoa, Mollusca, Bivalvia, Mytilida, Mytilidae. The transcript is spliced from 3 exons.
AUCAUAUGUGAACUUUUAUGGUAGGCGGAAUCCCAAAUCAAAAUGGCAAAUGACGUCUAAAACCAGCUAUUUAAAAAAUGUGCAAAUUCAAGAAGAAAUCUUUUCCGAUCGAGAAUUCAGGAAACAACAAACUUUAAACAUCUUUGCAGAAGUCGUUUGGUCAACCUUAACGCACAAUGCAACAAAUAGACGAAGCAGCCAAUGCAACCAUAAAAGCUAUAUUUGAUCGAGUUAACAUAACUAUUAAUUCAACACAG